Atractiella rhizophila is the source of this 81-nucleotide non-coding RNA. The record is from the annotation of a GenBank genome assembly. Lineage: Eukaryota; Fungi; Basidiomycota; Atractiellomycetes; Atractiellales; Hoehnelomycetaceae.
CCUUCUGUGAUGUAGCGGUAGCAUCUGAGAUUCUGAUUUCCAGACUUUCUCAUCACCCCGGUUCGAAUCCGGGCAGGAGGU